Apodemus sylvaticus (European woodmouse) is the source of this 492-nucleotide long non-coding RNA. RefSeq lists it as uncharacterized. The record is from RefSeq and is a predicted model, not a curated record. The transcript is spliced from 3 exons. Lineage: Eukaryota; Metazoa; Chordata; Mammalia; Rodentia; Muridae.
ACCCUGCAGAAUCUCUCUGUCUGUCUCCUUCUCUGUCUCUGUCUCUGUCUCUCUCUCAUCCCAAUUGCCUGAGCAAACUCUCUUCUUCAAUCACCUCCUGUUGCCCAUCAGGUGCUGCAGAGAAGACACUCGUCUGUCCCAAGGAGCCUGUUACACCCAGAGGCGCUAACAGUCAAUCUAAGACAGCAUCUCAGCACAGCUCUGGCUGUCCUGGGGUACGCUGUGGGGAGCAGACAGCUUCAAACUCACAGAGAUCUUCCUGCCUCUGCUGCUGUUCUGGGAUUAAAGGCUUGGUUCAGAAAUAGGCUUGUGAUCUGUCAGCUGAAGGAGCGUCGCCCUUGGAACCUCAGCCGGACGCAUCCGGAAAUAAGCAGUCGAGUGGUGAUGUCCAUCCUUGUCACAUCUUGGAGACAGCUGCUGAGGAGGAGGAAGAGUACAAACCAAGUGCAGUUUCCCAACUGAGAAAGCAAAUAAAUGACCUUUUAUGCUGAA